CGGGGAUGCCGCGGCGGGGACGGCGAUUGGUCCGGAUGCGUGGUGCCACUGGCCGCCGGCUCCGCCCUGGCCCCCGCCCC
Aotus nancymaae (Ma's night monkey) is the source of this 80-nucleotide microRNA precursor. NCBI's taxonomy places the organism in Eukaryota, Metazoa, Chordata, Mammalia, Primates, Aotidae. The record is from Ensembl.